CUCCUGACCUCGUGAUCUGCCCGCCUUGGCCUCCCAAAGUGCUGGGAUUACAGGCGUGAGCCACUGUGCCUGGCCCUUUUUGGUGUUCUUAAUACUAAAAUAACACAUAUGUUCCCAUGAUGUUUCAUUUAUUAUAACAAUCAGUUUCUGUGAGAUUUUGGUGAAUCAGUAGAAUAAAAUAAUUUUUGUGCCUUCUCCAAAUUAAUCAAUGGUCCAAAAAUCAUUUACUGAAAACCCUACCAGUUAUCAUGUUCUUACAUAAUUAAUACCUAUAUAUGCAUUUUAUUUAACUCCCAUAACAACUCUGAAAUAGAAAUCAUCAUUCCUCUAUUGCUAACCAGAAAAAUGACCCAAAUAGUAGAGGUGGGACUGGCUGACUGCCAAAGUCUAUGCUUUUUUUUUUUUUUAAGAGACAGUGUUUUUUAGAGACACUCCUAUCGCCUAGACUGGAGUGCAGUGCCAGGAUCAUAGCUCACUGCAGCUUUGAACUCCUAGGCUCAAGUAAUCCUCUGCCUCAGCCUCCCAAACAGCUGGGACUACAGGCAUGUACCACCAUGCCUGGGUAAUUUUUUUAUUUUUAGAGACAGAGUCUCGCUAUGUUUCCCAGGUUGGUCUCAAAUUCCUAGCCUCAAGGAACUCUUCAACUUCAGCCUCCUGAGCUGCUGGGAUACAGGCUUGAGCCACUGUGCCCAGAAAAGCCCAUAAUGUUAAGCACUGCCCCAAGAAAUUUUCUUAUAUUUGAAUAAAAAGUACAUUAGUUACAAUUUUAAAUGCUUUAAUAUUCACCUAAAACUUAGAAGCUUAUAUAGUCUCUUCUACCUAGCAACAUAUCUAACUAGAUUCUUUUUUAUUUUAUUUUAUUUUUUUAUUGAUCAUUCUUAGGUGUUUCUCGCAGAGGGGGAUUUGGCAGGGUCAUAGGACAAUAGUGGAGGGACGGUCAGCAGAUAAACAAGUGAACAAAGGUCUCUAGUUUUCCUAGGCAGAGGACCCUGCAGCGUUCCACAGUGUUUGUGUCCCUGGGUACUUGAGAUUAGGGAGUGGUGAUGAUUCUUAACGAGCAUGCUGCCUUCAAGCAUCUGUUUAACAAAGCACAUCUUGCACCGCCCUUAAUCCAUUUAACCCUGAGUGGACACAGCACAUGUUUCAGAGAGCACAGGGUUGGGGGUAAGGUCACCGAUCAACAGGAUCCCAAGGCAGAAGAAUUUUUCUUUCUAACUAGAUUCUUAAGUUUUUGCCCCUAAAGGCUCUUAGCCAACAUAGAAAACUUUCAUCUUGUGACUUCAGAGUUUUGGGGCAAUUUAUCAGAGAAGCUUACCAUACGGUUGUCAUAACAAUUUAAUACAAAGAUAUACAAGAGAGCACAGUGUCUGGGCAGAGUAGUUUGUCAAGGAAACCUAGUUCCCUUCCUUUCUUAAAGGAGUUAAUAUGUCAGUAAAACCAAUUAUCAUUCUAACCUUGAAUCAUGCAGACAGGGCUAAGUGAAGUUUUCCAAAAUAUAUGGCAAGAGGCCACUGCCUCACCUAGCAAUUACAUGCUAAAGCCCAAACUGUAAGAUACUUUUAUUACUCUUAUUUUACAGAUGAGAAAGUAAGGCACUAAGAGGUCAAAUAACUUGCCUAAUGUUAUAUAGCUAGUAAGUGGUAGAUGAAAUUUGAUUUCCGAGCCUAAGUAUUUAGAGCGCCUUAAAGCAUCAAGUGACAAAUAUAUAACAAAUCUUGCAUAAACAGGACAAAUAAUCUUAUAGGUUAUAUAAAAUCAGAUCCCGGCCGGGCGCAGUGGCUCACGCCUGUAAUCCCAGCACUCUGGGAGGCUGAGGCAGGCGGAUCAUGAGGUCAGGCGAUUGAGACCAUCCUGGCUAACAUGGUGAAACCCUGUCUCUACUAAAAAUACAAAAAAUUAGCCGGGCGUGGUGGCGGGCGCCUGUAAUCCCAGCUACUUGGGAGGCUGAGGCAGGAGAAUGGCGUGAACCCAGGAGGCGGAGGCUGCAGUGAGCCGAGAUCGGGACACUGCACUCCAGACGGGGUAACAGAGCAAGACUCCGUCUCAAAAAAAAAAAAAAAAAAAAAAAUCAGAUCCCAGCUAGGUAGGGAGGCUCAUGCACAUAACCCCAGCAAUCUGGAAGGCUGAGGUGGGAGGGUCACUUGAGCCCAGGAGUUCGAGACCAGCUGGGUAACACAAUGAAACUCGGUCUCUACAAAAAUAGGAAAAAUUAGCCAGGCACAGUGUCACGUGCCUGCAGCCCUAGCUUCUUGGGAGGCUGAGGUGAGAGGAUCCCUGGAGCCUGAGAGGACGAGGCUGCAGCAAGCCAUUACUGUGCCACCACCGUACCCCCAGCUUGGGUGACAAGAGGGGACCCUGUUUAAAAAACAAACAUGGUUGAGAGAAACCCUGAUCAUAGGCUUCCUAAAAUCUGUUUUCAGAUAUGAGUUUUCAGGAGAAAUUUUUGCUUCUUGUUCUCCCAAAGGGCUUCUGACAAGUACAGAAACUCUUCAUGUUCAAUUUAAAUAAACAAACUGUUUUUCCUUUAGACCCUUGGUCUAACAUAGAGCUGCUCCAAUCUCUAAGAGAACUGGAUGACUUGGAUACAUAAAAGGAGAGCUCUUGCAGUCCUAUUCCUACUCUUGACUCAAGUAAAUAUUUUGAUGGAGGUGAGCUAAGAAUUUCCUUUUACCUGAAAUAUUUUAAGUAUUUUGGCACUAAAAAAUAAAAAAAGUAUUUUGGCACUAACAAAUCUGUAAGGGAGCAUAAAAGAAAUAUUAAGAAUUGUACGGCUGGGCGUGCUGGCUCACGCCUGUAAUCCCAGCACUUUGGGAGGCCAAGGCGGGUGGAUCACGAGGUCAGGCGAUCGAGACCAUCCUGGCUAACAAGGUGAAACCCCGUCUCUACUAAAAAUACAAAAAAAUUAGCUGGGUGUGGUGGCAGGUGCCUGUAGUCCCAGCUAUUCAGGAGGCUGAGGCAGGAGAAUGGCGGGAACCCGGGAAGCGGAGCUUGCAGUGAGCCGAGACUGUGCCACUGCACUCUAGCCUCGGCAACAGAGUGAGACUCCAUCUCAAAAAAAAAAAAAAAAAGACUUUUACACCUAUAAUAAAUGUCUUACUGAGGACUCGUAUUUCAAGAUGAGGGAAGAGUACGUGUUUGUUGCUUUCAUGUUGAAGGGAUAAUCAUCCUAGUGAAAUUAUG
This 3180-nucleotide long non-coding RNA is filed under the name Homo sapiens (human). Its description in RNAcentral is "HSALNT0193385". Lineage: Eukaryota; Metazoa; Chordata; Mammalia; Primates; Hominidae. The record is from RNAcentral.